Molecule: transfer RNA, 87 nt
Filed under: Candidatus Saccharimonadota bacterium
Lineage: Bacteria; Candidatus Saccharimonadota
Description: tRNA-Leu
Rfam family: tRNA
About the family: Transfer RNA (tRNA) molecules are approximately 80 nucleotides in length. Their secondary structure includes four short double-helical elements and three loops (D, anti-codon, and T loops).
Source: RNAcentral
GCCCGAGUGGCGGAAUUGGCAGACGCGCUAGCUUCAGGUGCUAGUUUGAGUAAUCAAGUGCAGGUUCAACCCCUGUCUCGGGCACCA